Molecule: ribosomal RNA, 2908 nt
Filed under: Citrobacter freundii
Lineage: Bacteria; Pseudomonadati; Pseudomonadota; Gammaproteobacteria; Enterobacterales; Enterobacteriaceae
Description: 23S ribosomal RNA
Rfam family: Bacterial large subunit ribosomal RNA
Source: RNAcentral
GGUUAAGCGACUAAGCGUACACGGUGGAUGCCCUGGCAGUCAGAGGCGAUGAAGGACGUGCUAAUCUGCGAUAAGCGUCGGUAAGGUGAUAUGAACCGUUAUAACCGGCGAUUUCCGAAUGGGGAAACCCAGUGUGAUUCGUCACACUAUCAUUACGUGAAUACAUAGCGUAAUGAAGCGAACCGGGGGAACUGAAACAUCUAAGUACCCCGAGGAAAAGAAAUCAACCGAGAUUCCCCCAGUAGCGGCGAGCGAACGGGGAGCAGCCCAGAGUCUGAAUCAGCUUGUGUGUUAGUGGAACGGUCUGGAAAGUCCGACGGUACAGGGUGAUAGUCCCGUACACCAAAAUGCACAGGUUGUGAACUCGAAGAGUAGGGCGGGACACGUGGUAUCCUGUCUGAAUAUGGGGGGACCAUCCUCCAAGGCUAAAUACUCCUGACUGACCGAUAGUGAACCAGUACCGUGAGGGAAAGGCGAAAAGAACCCCGGCGAGGGGAGUGAAAAAGAACCUGAAACCGUGUACGUACAAGCAGUGGGAGCAUCCUUUUGGGUGUGACUGCGUACCUUUUGUAUAAUGGGUCAGCGACUUAUAUUCUGUAGCAAGGUUAACCGUAUAGGGGAGCCGAAGGGAAACCGAGUCUUAACUGGGCGUUAAGUUGCAGGGUAUAGACCCGAAACCCGGUGAUCUAGCCAUGGGCAGGUUGAAGGUUGGGUAACACUAACUGGAGGACCGAACCGACUAAUGUUGAAAAAUUAGCGGAUGACUUGUGGCUGGGGGUGAAAGGCCAAUCAAACCGGGAGAUAGCUGGUUCUCCCCGAAAGCUAUUUAGGUAGCGCCUCGUGAAUUCAUCUUCGGGGGUAGAGCACUGUUUCGGCUAGGGGGUCAUCCCGACUUACCAACCCGAUGCAAACUGCGAAUACCGAAGAAUGUUAUCACGGGAGACACACGGCGGGUGCUAACGUCCGUCGUGAAGAGGGAAACAACCCAGACCGCCAGCUAAGGUCCCAAAGUCAUGGUUAAGUGGGAAACGAUGUGGGAAGGCACAGACAGCCAGGAUGUUGGCUUAGAAGCAGCCAUCAUUUAAAGAAAGCGUAAUAGCUCACUGGUCGAGUCGGCCUGCGCGGAAGAUGUAACGGGGCUAAACCAUGCACCGAAGCUGCGGCAGCGACACUAUGUGUUGUUGGGUAGGGGAGCGUUCUGUAAGCCGUUGAAGGUGUACUGUGAGGUAUGCUGGAGGUAUCAGAAGUGCGAAUGCUGACAUAAGUAACGAUAAUGCGGGUGAAAAACCCGCACGCCGGAAGACCAAGGGUUCCUGUCCAACGUUAAUCGGGGCAGGGUGAGUCGACCCCUAAGGCGAGGCCGAAAGGCGUAGUCGAUGGGAAACAGGUUAAUAUUCCUGUACUUGGUGUUACUGCGAAGGGGGGACGGAGAAGGCUAUGUUAGCCGGGCGACGGUUGUCCCGGUUUAAGCAUGUAGGCGGAGGUUCCAGGUAAAUCCGGUACCUUUUUAACGCUGAGGUGUGAUGACGAGGCACUACGGUGCUGAAGUAACAAAUGCCCUGCUUCCAGGAAAAGCCUCUAAGCAUCAGGUAACACGAAAUCGUACCCCAAACCGACACAGGUGGUCAGGUAGAGAAUACCAAGGCGCUUGAGAGAACUCGGGUGAAGGAACUAGGCAAAAUGGUGCCGUAACUUCGGGAGAAGGCACGCUGAUAUGUAGGUGAAGUGAUUUACUCAUGGAGCUGAAAUCAGUCGAAGAUACCAGCUGGCUGCAACUGUUUAUUAAAAACACAGCACUGUGCAAACACGAAAGUGGACGUAUACGGUGUGACGCCUGCCCGGUGCCGGAAGGUUAAUUGAUGGGGUUAUCCGUAAGGAGAAGCUCUUGAUCGAAGCCCCGGUAAACGGCGGCCGUAACUAUAACGGUCCUAAGGUAGCGAAAUUCCUUGUCGGGUAAGUUCCGACCUGCACGAAUGGCGUAAUGAUGGCCAGGCUGUCUCCACCCGAGACUCAGUGAAAUUGAACUCGCUGUGAAGAUGCAGUGUACCCGCGGCAAGACGGAAAGACCCCGUGAACCUUUACUAUAGCUUGACACUGAACACUGGUCCUUGAUGUGUAGGAUAGGUGGGAGGCUUUGAAGUGUGGACGCCAGUCUGCAUGGAGCCAUCCUUGAAAUACCACCCUUUAAUGGCUGGUGUUCUAACGUGGACCCGUGAUCCGGGUUGCGGACAGUGUCUGGUGGGUAGUUUGACUGGGGCGGUCUCCUCCUAAAGAGUAACGGAGGAGCACGAAGGUUAGCUAAUCCUGGUCGGACAUCAGGAGGUUAGUGCAAAGGCAUAAGCUAGCUUGACUGCGAGAGUGACGGCUCGAGCAGGUGCGAAAGCAGGUCUUAGUGAUCCGGUGGUUCUGAAUGGAAGGGCCAUCGCUCAACGGAUAAAAGGUACUCCGGGGAUAACAGGCUGAUACCGCCCAAGAGUUCAUAUCGACGGCGGUGUUUGGCACCUCGAUGUCGGCUCAUCACAUCCUGGGGCUGAAGUAGGUCCCAAGGGUAUGGCUGUUCGCCAUUUAAAGUGGUACGCGAGCUGGGUUUAGAACGUCGUGAGACAGUUCGGUCCCUAUCUGCCGUGGGCGCUGGAGAAUUGAGGGGGGCUGCUCCUAGUACGAGAGGACCGGAGUGGACGCAUCACUGGUGUUCGGGUUGUCAUGCCAAUGGCAUUGCCCGGUAGCUAAAUGCGGAAGAGAUAAGUGCUGAAAGCAUCUAAGCACGAAACUUGCCCCGAGAUGAGUUCUCCCUGAGACUUUAAGUCUCCUGAAGGAACGUUGAAGACGACGACGUUGAUAGGUCGGGUGUGUAAGUGUAGCGAUACAUUGAGCUAACCGAUACUAAUGAACCGUGAGGCUUAACCUU